RNAcentral lists this small RNA (132 nucleotides) under Salmonella enterica. Its description in RNAcentral is "RtT sRNA". It matches the Rfam family "RtT RNA". From Rfam's summary of the family: This family represents a bacterial cis-regulatory element known as RtT RNA. The exact function of RtT is unknown although it is thought that it may be involved in changing the cellular response in relation to amino acid starvation. RNAcentral also lists the same sequence under 4 other names. The record is from RNAcentral. Lineage: Bacteria; Pseudomonadati; Pseudomonadota; Gammaproteobacteria; Enterobacterales; Enterobacteriaceae.
AUUCUAUCCAUGUGGGGAAGGAUGAGAAGCUUCGACUAAGGUUCGAUUCGAGCGAAAGCGAGAAAGCGUUGCCGCAGGCAACGACCCGAAGGGCGAAGCGCGCAGCGCUGAGUAAUCCUUCCCCUACCACCA